GUGCCAGCAGCCGCGGUAAGACGUAGGGGGCCAGCGUUGCUCGGAAUUACUGGGCGUAAAGGGUCCGUAGGCGGUGCGGCAAGUCGGGGGUGAAAUCUCUGGGCUCAACUCAGAGGCUGCCUCCGAAACUGCCGUGCUCGAGUGCGGGAGAGGCGAGCGGAAUUGCAGGUGUAGCGGUGAAAUGCGUAGAUAUCUGCAGGAACACCCGUGGCGAAGGCGGCUCGCUGGACCGUGACUGACGCUGAGGGACGAAAGCUAGGGGAGCAAACAGGAUUAGAUACCCUGGUAGUCCUAGCCCUAAACGAUCAGGACUUGGGGUGGCCGGCGUCCGCGGGUCGUCCCGGAGCUAACGCGAUAAGUCCUGCGCCUGGGGAGUACGGUCGCAAGACUGAA
RNAcentral lists this ribosomal RNA (393 nucleotides) under uncultured bacterium. Its description in RNAcentral is "bacterial SSU rRNA". It matches the Rfam family "Bacterial small subunit ribosomal RNA", at positions 505 to 898 of the family's 1533-position model. The record is from RNAcentral.